This 440-nucleotide ribosomal RNA is filed under the name uncultured bacterium. Its description in RNAcentral is "partial 16S ribosomal RNA". It matches the Rfam family "Bacterial small subunit ribosomal RNA", at positions 338 to 795 of the family's 1533-position model. The record is from RNAcentral.
CCUACGGGUGGCAGCAGUAGGGAAUAUUGCUCAAUGGGGGAAACCCUGAAGCAGCAACGCCGCGUGGAGGAUGAAGGUUUUCGGAUUGUAAACUCCUUUUGUUAGAGAAGAUAAUGACGGUAUCUAACGAAUAAGCACCGGCUAACUCCGUGCCAGCAGCCGCGGUAAUACGGAGGGUGCAAGCGUUACUCGGAAUCAAUGGGCGUAAAGGGCGCGUAGGCGGGAUAGAAAGUGAGAUGUGAAAUCCUAUGGCUUAACCAUAGAAUUGCAUUUGAAACUGUCAUUCUAGAGUAUAGGAGAGGUAGGUGGAAUUCUUGGUGUAGGGGUAAAAUCCGUAGAGAUCAAGAGGAAUACUCAUUGCGAAGGCGACCUGCUAGAACAUAACUGACGCUGAUGCGCGAAAGCGUGGGGAGCAAACAGGAUUAGAUACCCUUGUAGUC